This 202-nucleotide small RNA is filed under the name Arthrobacter sp. RNAcentral's name for it is "c-di-AMP sequence". It matches the Rfam family "c-di-AMP riboswitch aptamer (ydaO/yuaA leader)". From Rfam's summary of the family: This family represents a conserved RNA structure found upstream of the ydaO and yuaA genes in Bacillus subtilis and related genes in other bacteria. The ydaO/yuaA element is thought to act as a genetic "off" switch for the ydaO and yuaA genes in its native state. The record is from RNAcentral. Lineage: Bacteria; Bacillati; Actinomycetota; Actinomycetes; Micrococcales; Micrococcaceae.
CCCAGCCGAUUGCCUAACUCUGCCGCGGCCCGGGGGUAACUCGCAUCAACGUCCGGCAGAGACGGGGAAACCACUUUUGAUCUGCUGAUAUGCAGGUCUUGGGGUGAAGCCGCACAGUGCCCGCAACGACGGGCCCGGAGUGCGGCCGGGUGCCUCCCAUCCGAAUCCGACAGCUCACCUCGCAGGCAUUGGGAGAGGCUAC